This 253-nucleotide ribosomal RNA is filed under the name uncultured bacterium. Its description in RNAcentral is "partial 16S ribosomal RNA". It matches the Rfam family "Bacterial small subunit ribosomal RNA", at positions 524 to 776 of the family's 1533-position model. The record is from RNAcentral.
UACGGGGGGGGCAAGCGUUGUUCGGAAUUACUGGGCGUAAAGGGCUCGUAGGCGGCCAACUAAGUCGGACGUGAAAUCCCCAGGCUCAACCUGGGAACUGCGUCCGAUACUGGAUGGCUUGAAUUCGGGAGAGGGGUGCAGAAUUCCAGGUGUAGCGGUGAAAUGCGUAGAUAUCUGGAGGAAUACCGGUGGCGAAGGCGGCAUCCUGGACCGACAUUGACGCUGAUGAGCGAAAGCUAGGGGAGCAAACGGG